Molecule: ribosomal RNA, 370 nt
Filed under: uncultured bacterium
Lineage: Bacteria
Description: bacterial SSU rRNA
Rfam family: Bacterial small subunit ribosomal RNA
Source: RNAcentral
UAAAUCGGAGAUUUCCCUUCGGGGACAGUGGUGACAGGUGGUGUAUGGUUGUCGUCAGCUCGUGUCGUGAGAUGUUGGGUUAAGUCCCGCAACGAGCGCAACCCUUGCCUUUAGUUGCCAGCAUUAAGUUGGGCACUCUAGAGGGACUGCCGAGGAUAACUCGGAGGAAGGUGGGGAUGACGUCAAAUCAUCAUGCCCCUUAUGCUUAGGGCUACACACGUGCUACAAUGGGUGGUACAGAGGGUUGCCAAGCCGCGAGGUGGAGCUAAUCCCUUAAAGCCAUUCUCAGUUCGGAUUGUAGGCUGAAACUCGCCUACAUGAAGCUGGAGUUACUAGUAAUCGCAGAUCAGAAUGCUGCAGUGAAUGCGUU